This 27-nucleotide non-coding RNA is filed under the name Homo sapiens (human). Lineage: Eukaryota; Metazoa; Chordata; Mammalia; Primates; Hominidae. The record is from RNAcentral.
UGCAGGUGUUCUUGCUCUCAGCUCAGA